AUUGAACGCUGGCGGCAGGCUUAACACAUGCAAGUCGAGCGGGGUGAUGGUGCUUGCACUAACACUUAGCGGCGGACGGGUGAGUAAUGCUUAGGAAUCUGCCUAUUAGUGGGGACAACAUCUCGAAAGGGAUGCUAAUACCGCAAACGUUCUACGGGAGAAAGCAGGGGAUCACUUGUGACCUUGCGCUAAUAGAUGAGGCUAAGUCGGAUUAGCUAGUUGGUGGGGUAAAGGCCUACCAAGGCGACGAUCUGUAGCGGGUCUGAGAGGAUGAUCCGCCACACUGGGACUGAGACACGGCCCAGACUCCUACGGGAGGCAGCAGUGGGGAAUAUUGGACAAUGGGGGGAACCCUGAUCCAGCCAUGCCGCGUGUGUGAAGAAGGCCUUAUGGUUGUAAAGCACUUUAAGCGAGGAGGAGGCUACUCUAGUUAAUACCUAGGGAUAGUGGACGUUACUCGCAGAAUAAGCACCGGCUAACUACGUGCCAGCCGCCGCAGUAA
Molecule: ribosomal RNA, 502 nt
Filed under: uncultured bacterium
Lineage: Bacteria
Description: partial 16S ribosomal RNA
Rfam family: Bacterial small subunit ribosomal RNA
Source: RNAcentral